Molecule: RNA transcript, 3266 nt
Organism: Corvus hawaiiensis (hawaiian crow)
Lineage: Eukaryota; Metazoa; Chordata; Aves; Passeriformes; Corvidae
Gene: MAP6D1
Gene name: MAP6 domain containing 1
Exons: 4
Source: RefSeq, a predicted model, not a curated record
AGUACCACGCAGCUAGAGCGGAGCAGCGUUCCUCGCCGGGCCGGUGCCCGUCACUGGGCGCGCUACCGCGCUCCCGGGCACAGAGCGGCUCCGAAAGCACCGACAGACACCAGGACCCGAAGAAGCACGGGCAGAGCCGGUCCCCCCCGAGAGGCAGACGGGGGGCGCAGCCCGGCAGGGUCCGGUCCCGGCCGCCCUCCCUCCCCUCCGCACCGCCGCCAACCCCCGCAGCUGCACGGGGCUCCCGCCGGCAGCCGGGUCACGUGUGCGGGCCGUAAUCCCGGCGAGGGGGUGUCGUUACCGGGGAAGGGGGCGGCAGGAGGAGGGGCUGCCGCCGAUGAGGGCUGAAGCCGAGAGCGCGGCCGGCUGCGGGCGCCGGAGCCGCGGGCGCCGCUGCGGGCGAGGCGGGGGCUGCGGCCGCGGCCAUGGCCUGGCCCUGCAUCAGCCGGGUGUGCUGCUUGGCCCGCUUCUGGAGCCAGCUGGACAAGUCCGACCUCUCCGUGCCGCUCACCAUCCACAACUACUCGGACAUCGAGGAGCAGGAGGACGGGCCGCCCCAGCGCAGCGGGCCCCCUCCGCGGGGCAGCGCUCGCCCGCCCGCCCCGGCGCGCCGCCCGCGGGACCCCGCCGCCGCCGCCGCCGCCGCCGGGAAGCCGAGCGGCCGCAGGAAGAGCCGGGCGGCCGCCGCCGGAGAGCCCUUCGCGGCGGAGACCCAGUACCGGCGGGACUUCAGAGCGUGGCCCCUCCCGAGGAGGGACGACUUCCCCUGGGUCAGCGCCAGUAGCGGCGGCGGCGGCGGCGGCGGGAGGGACGGGGCCGCCCCCCAGCCCGCCCCGGGACGCGCCGCCUGCGCCCUGCCCGGCGGCGGCGGGAGACCGGCGGUCGACGGCCCCGAGCAGCUCCGGCCGCGCUCGCAGGCGGACGGCGGCCACACCACCUCCUACAGCUUCAGUGAUGGCAGUGCCCAGGACCACUCCCGCAGUCUGAAGCAGGGAAGAGGUGAUCACAACACACCCAUCUUCGACAAGAGUAUCGCCCAUGGACUGGAGCAAAACCAUCCAAGCCUAUAAAGUCAAAACAAGGCUUCAUUAUCCCAGAAGACCAUUUUGUUCAAGAGACAAGCUACAAGGCAGACUUUAAGAUCCCAGAGGUGAAGACCAGGUUCUCUCCCAACCCUUCUGCUGUUUUCCAGGCGCCAUCACGGAUCCUCAACGUGUGAACCUGGACCCUCCUCACACCCAGGCAGCUUAAACGCGGAGCUUCUGUUAAGAUGUAUCACUAUGCAAUUUUGAUGAGGAGUGUUAAGAUCAAAGAACCGGCGUUAUCAAAAGCAGCUCCAGUGAUUAAUGAUAUGCACACACACUUUCUGUUAACACAACAAACCGCAAAGCGCUUGGUUCAGAGCUGGCAAAACACACUGCAAGGAGUGACCUAGUUUUUCAUAGGAGCAGGUUCAUUGCUAUGCCAGCUGGCGUCACAUUAGGAGAUUGACUUUGGGCAGCAAAAGCAGGAUUGCAGACAACAUCCCUACACAGAAAUACACAGGGUAGGAGGGAAAACAAUCGCAAGUGGGAUGGAUAAUUAAAACCCAAACCAGUUUUAUUUAGCAACACCCUCUAAGUAGGCCACUGAAAGACAGGGAGUAGUCUGGCUGACUUCUGAGCUUCUUGAGGGGUUUUGGGAACAGCACCUCAAAUGGCAUCACCAGAAAGCACAGCUUCAAAGGGGCUGGUCUGAACUUCCAGAGUUGUUUUAGAAACUGGAGAAAGCCAAUGUCAUUGAACUAUAAAAUAAAUCCGGCACAUGCAAUGUCUUGGGCGUUUAAGGCUGGGAAGCUGGAUAUUUCCAAAAUUGGAGAGCUGAUGCAGAAGCAAGAGGGGACUGAACUCCAGGAGGCAGCCCUGACAGCAGUGCACCAGACUGGUUUGGAGAAGAGUGCAUGGAUACUGUCAGGCACCCACCAGACUCCUCCACAGGAGCUAAGAUACUUAUGUAAUUUGUACAGCUGUUAGGGUGAAUGUAAAUAUUGUACAUGGAUAUUACCUAAAGCAAUUUGUGAUCCUUUAAUGAAAAGGAUAUGCUUAUACUUUUAAUAAAUGUUAACUCUUUGCAUAUGCAAGGUGGAAAAUAUUGCCUUGAAAUUCCUAAAUUAUUGCCUGUAUAUUGGUAAUGCUAAUGCUAGGAACAACCACAAGCGAAUGUUACUUAGAAAUUCUUCUUAAAGAAAAAUGUAAUGUAGAAUGUAAGCCAUCUGUCAUUUUUAAGAUAGGCCAUUUCAAGUGUCAUUGUUCUGAAGCUGAUUUUUUUAGACUGCUGUGCAUUGAUCUUUUGCUGAGGUACACGUGUUUUAAGAAACCAUUUUUUUAGCCUUUGUUCAUCAAGACUUUACAAUUUCUAUUUCAAUAACUUAUGCAAUAUAAUUAGUCUACUGCUUAUUUAAUGGAUUUACUAAUUAUUUUGGAAAACAAAUUGAAAAACUUUUACUUUGUGUUUGCAACACAUGUGUGUUGUCCAGAACAAAGGGAAACUAUCCUCAGACUUGAACAGUGAUCAGAUGUUCAUUCAUCUGUAAUGAAACAGACUUUUAACAGGAGGAUUUUUUCUUAACCUUCCUACUAGCUGAAGUCUAAGGCAAAUUUAAUGAACUUCGGGGAUUCUGCAAAAACAUACAUAUUGCUGAUAAUUCCCGUAAGAACAAUUUUUGAGCUGUUGGCAUGUGAAUAGUACUUGGAAUACAUGCAGACAGCAUCUUCUCACUGCAUGAUGUGAGAAUUUAAUGGUGCCAUCUCUGUUCACUACAGUGGGACUGAACACAACCACCAGAAUAGGGAACACCUGCAGUAAGCUGCAUUUGGCUGGGACAAGGGAUGGCUCUUCCCACACUCAUCCUUGGAUAAACCUACAGCAAUCCCAGUGCUUGCCAAAAUAAUUUUUCAGGAGAUUAAUUUUUCAGGAAAUUCAUUUGAAACAUUCAAACUGUGCUAAAAGUUUUGCAUGUUAGAUGUUUCUAAGAAUUCAAUCUGCUUGUUUAAUCUCUUUAUAAUGUUUUUAACAGUUUUGUUCAAACAAUUUAAUUUCAUUUCAAUUCUGGACUUUAUUAACAGCAAGGAAAAAAAAGAAAAAAGGAAAUUGUCUAUUAUCUAUUCUUAAUUGACUGUAUUUCUUAAAAAAAAUUACCCAGGUUUAAACAAAUUGGUAAUAUAAUAAGCUUGUAUUUUAUCAAAUGGACUGGAUUUAAUUUAAUAAAUUAAAAUGUAUUUUGGCUA